RNAcentral lists this microRNA precursor (84 nucleotides) under Homo sapiens (human). RNAcentral describes it as "mir-548 microRNA precursor family". It matches the Rfam family "mir-548 microRNA precursor family". The record is from Rfam by way of RNAcentral. Lineage: Eukaryota; Metazoa; Chordata; Mammalia; Primates; Hominidae.
UAUUAGGUUGGUGCAAAAGUAAUUGUGGUUUUUGCCAUUACUUUUAAUGGCAGAAAUCUCAAUUACUUUUGCACCGACCUAAUG